RNAcentral lists this ribosomal RNA (451 nucleotides) under uncultured bacterium. Its description in RNAcentral is "partial 16S ribosomal RNA". It matches the Rfam family "Bacterial small subunit ribosomal RNA", at positions 354 to 796 of the family's 1533-position model. The record is from RNAcentral.
GUGGGGAAUAUUGGACAAUGGGCGAAAGCCUGAUCCAGCCAUGCCGCGUGUGUGAAGAAGGCCUUUUGGUUGUAAAGCACUUUAAGCGAGGAGGAGGCUACCGAGAUUAAUACUCUUGGAUAGUGGACGUUACUCGCAGAAUAAGCACCGGCUAACUCUGUGCCAGCAGCCGCGGUAAUACAGAGGGUGCGAGCGUUAAUCGGAUUUACUGGGCGUAAAGCGUGCGUAGGCGGCUUUUUAAGUCGGAUGUGAAAUCCCUGAGCUUAACUUAGGAAUUGCAUUCGAUACUGGUUGGCUAGAGUAUGGGAGAGGAUGGUAGAAUUCCAGGUGUAGCGGUGAAAUGCGUAGAGAUCUGGAGGAAUACCGAUGGCGAAGGCAGCCAUCUGGCCUAAUACUGACACUGAGGUGCGAAAGCAUGGGGAGCAAACAGGAUUAGAUACCCCGGUAGUCC